Molecule: long non-coding RNA, 308 nt
Organism: Sinocyclocheilus anshuiensis
Lineage: Eukaryota; Metazoa; Chordata; Actinopteri; Cypriniformes; Cyprinidae
Exons: 3
Source: RefSeq, a predicted model, not a curated record
UUUUGGCGACCUAGCAUGGGUAGCUAAAUUAUGAAUAUCAUUAAGACUGAUUAGCAUGGGAGUAACUAAUUUGUUUGCAAUCGCGGGCCCCCCAGAGGACAUCGUUAUGGGCCCUAAUAUUAUCUAGUGAAGAGUUUGCAGCUGCCUGCGACCAAAGACGGCAGCAGAAGGUCAUGCAUUUCCAGAAGAUCCUGCACCAAACCGCCUCUGAGAUGAAUGGGAACAGUUAAACUGGUACGUGCGGGAGGGAAAGGCAAAAGUGGCGCCCUCUCGUUCCCCGAGUCGAAACAGGAUGUUCUGCACGGUGC